GAGGUUGUGGCUCAGUGGUAGAGUGCUUGCCUAGCAUGUGUGAGGCACUGGGUUUGAUUCUCAGCACCACA
RNAcentral lists this transfer RNA (71 nucleotides) under Marmota monax (woodchuck). Its description in RNAcentral is "tRNA.Ala". Lineage: Eukaryota; Metazoa; Chordata; Mammalia; Rodentia; Sciuridae. The record is from RNAcentral.